UGCGGGAUCGUAUAAUGGUAGUACAACGGAUUCUGGCUCCGUUUAUCCUGGUUCGAAUCCAGGUCCCGCAG
RNAcentral lists this transfer RNA (71 nucleotides) under Candidatus Falkowbacteria bacterium RBG_13_39_14. RNAcentral's name for it is "tRNA-Gln". It matches the Rfam family "tRNA". Rfam says of the family: Transfer RNA (tRNA) molecules are approximately 80 nucleotides in length. Their secondary structure includes four short double-helical elements and three loops (D, anti-codon, and T loops). Further hydrogen bonds mediate the characteristic L-shaped molecular structure. tRNAs have two regions of fundamental functional importance: the anti-codon, which is responsible for specific mRNA codon recognition, and the 3' end, to which the tRNAs corresponding amino acid is attached (by aminoacyl-tRNA synthetases). tRNAs cope with the degeneracy of the genetic code in two manners: having more than one tRNA (with a specific anti-codon) for a particular amino acid; and 'wobble' base-pairing, i.e. permitting non-standard base-pairing at the 3rd anti-codon position. Lineage: Bacteria; Candidatus Falkowiibacteriota. The record is from RNAcentral.